CAUUUAAAAAAGACACCAAAGGAUUACUUUAUUCACAGUUGAGGGUUACCACUCGAUAGCUGAAGUUGGUGAACAGUGGGAACUGGACAAACCUAUUGAAAAUGAGACAAGUGUUAAUUGUUUUAUUGGUGGCAACCGCGCUGGUUGGAAUCGCCCAAUCCGCAGCGACAAGCUGUGCUGCGAAUGGAGAAUACUGUCUGCGCCACAGUGAAUGCUGCUCCGGCUCCUGUCUAUUUUUCUCAUACAAAUGCGUACCGAUAUCGGGCCCUGUUUACCCGCCCGUUCAGUCAACAACCUGGAACCCACCUCCGAACUGUGCGAAGAACGGUGAAUAUUGCCUAAUGCACAGUGAUUGCUGCUCGGGUGCUUGUCUAUCCUUCUCGUAUAAAUGCGUUCAGCUCCAGGGAUAAAAUUACUCGCUGUUCUGAAACACCAUUCAUACACAAAACAUAGUCGUGUUCAGAAAUAAAU
Long non-coding RNA from Toxorhynchites rutilus septentrionalis, 471 nucleotides. RefSeq lists it as uncharacterized. The record is from RefSeq and is a predicted model, not a curated record. The transcript has 3 exons. NCBI's taxonomy places the organism in Eukaryota, Metazoa, Arthropoda, Insecta, Diptera, Culicidae.